This 334-nucleotide ribosomal RNA is filed under the name uncultured bacterium. Its description in RNAcentral is "bacterial SSU rRNA". It matches the Rfam family "Bacterial small subunit ribosomal RNA", at positions 44 to 406 of the family's 1533-position model. The record is from RNAcentral.
AUGCCUAACACAUGCAAGUCGAACGAACCCUUCGGGGUUAGUGGCGCACGGGUGCGUAACGCGUGGGAACCUGCCCUUAGGUUCGGAAUAACUCAGAGAAAUUUGAGCUAAUACCGGAUAAUGUCUUCGGACCAAAGAUUUAUCGCCUUUGGAUGGGCCCGCGUUGGAUUAGCUAGUUGGCGGGGUAAAGGCCUACCAAGGCGACGAUCCAUAGCUGGUCUGAGAGGAUGAUCAGCCACACUGGGACUGAGACACGGCCCAGACUCCUACGGGAGGCAGCAGUGGGGAAUAUUGGACAAUGGGCGAAAGCCUGAUCCAGCAAUGCCGCGUGAGU